RNAcentral lists this ribosomal RNA (601 nucleotides) under uncultured archaeon. Its description in RNAcentral is "bacterial SSU rRNA". It matches the Rfam family "Archaeal small subunit ribosomal RNA", at positions 319 to 923 of the family's 1478-position model. The record is from RNAcentral.
UCCCUAUGGGGUGCAGCAGGCGCGAAACCUCCACAAUGCGCGAAAGCGUGAUGGGGUUAGCCCGAGUGCUAUCCGAAAAGGAUGGCUUUUCCUUGGCGUAAAAACCCAUGGGAAUAAAGGGGGGGCAAGACUGGUGUCAGCCGCCGCGGUAAUACCAGCUCCCUGAGUGGUAAGGACGAUUAUUUGGCUUAAAGCGUCCGUAGCCGGCUUAGUGAGUCUUUUGUUAAAUCCAAUGAUUUAAUCAUUGAACUGCAAGAGAUACUGCUAUGCUAGAGGACGGGAGAGGUCGACGGUAGUCCAGGGGUAGGGGUGAAAUCCUAUAAUCCUUGGAGGACCACCAGUGGCGAAGGCGGUCGACUAGAACGUGCCUGACGGUGAGGGACGAAAGCUGGGGGAGCGAACCGGAUUAGAUACCCGGGUAGUCCCAGCUGUAAACGAUGCAGACUCGGUGAUGAGUAGGCUUCGUGCCUAUUCAGUGCCGCAGGGAAGCCGUUAAGUCUGCCGCCUGGGGAGUACGGUCGCAAGACUGAAACUUAAAGGAAUUGGCGGGGGAGCACCACAAGGGGUGAAGCUUGCGGUUUAAUUGGAUUCAACGCCGGAA